Long non-coding RNA from Stegastes partitus (bicolor damselfish), 4956 nucleotides. RefSeq lists it as uncharacterized. The record is from RefSeq and is a predicted model, not a curated record. The transcript has 2 exons. NCBI's taxonomy places the organism in Eukaryota, Metazoa, Chordata, Actinopteri, Pomacentridae.
ACCAGGUACUACAGCUGGUCUACGAUAGAUCUGCUGACAUCAUGUAGAGAAAACAGGUUUUCUCCAUCUGUUGGAGCCUCAGAACAUCCUAUAAUUCUAACAGAGUUCUACUGGAGCUUUACAACAAGGUUCCACUGACAGAACAUGACGGAACAGACUGGAGGCAGAAAUGCAGUUUUUUCUUAAUGCAUUGCAGAAAUAUUCAGGUGUCAAGCAAAUAGAUCUGAAUUGAUUUUAAUAACAUCAAUGUACUUGAAGUGUGUAUUAUGAAGGAAAAUGCCAGAUAUGGGAUUGGACUAAAUAUUAGAUAAGUUGGGUCAGGAUGUAACUAGCGAUACAGUCACUCCUGUUCUGGGUGGAAAUACCUGUGAUUCACUAAAAUCUCACAUCACAUUUUGUAAAGCCUGAAAACUGAGCCAAGAUGAAACGCAGACGUCUAGUUUCCAGUCAUAUCACUUGAAUUACAAAAUGUUGAAGGGUUUGUGUGAAACUUUUGCCCGAUGAAGCCAAAAGAACGUCCUGCCUACUGCAGCUUCAAAUGAAAUGACCUCUCUGAUGUCUGUGCUGUGAAUAUGAAGCCAGGAGAUGCUUAGCUUAGCUUAGCUUAGCUUAGCUUAGCUUAGCUUAGCUUAGCAUGAAGACUGGUAACAGGGUGAAGAAACUAACCUGGUUCUGUCCAGAAGGUUAAAACAAUCUACUCAGCAGCCCGUCUGAAGCUGUGACUGUAGAGACACACUGCUGAUGUUGGACUAGUGUUGUGUGGUCAGUCUGGUUUUGUUUGUUUCCCGUUUACAGAACCCAGCCUGUGUUCACACACACCACAUGAUUAUUUUUUUUGCAGUGCAAACUCAGAACAGAAAGCUAGCAGACCAUGAAAUCACCAAAUCUGACACUAAAGCCCCUUUCAGAACCGAACUCCUUCCCAUUAAUCUGACAGCAUCUGGACGUGUCGGCUUCAUGUCUGAAUGAACAUCCUGCUAACUCUGGUGAAAAGUCGCAGCAGCAGCGAGUCGCUCUUCACUUUGAACACGACACAAGUCUGAUCAGUCGCAUUAGCAGAUGGACGGUCACUAACGAGGUGUGCUUUGUGUAAAGCAGCAUCAGACAGCAGCAGGAUGAAUGUGAGCGACUCAAAGACGAGGUUCAGUGAAUCUACACACAACAAUUAACUCUUUACCUCUUGCUAGUUACUUGGACAGUUUAUUAUGCAUUAUUGUGUUUUAUACAUCACUGGAUGCUGCGUCCUGUCAUACGUAUCUGAUAAAUAUUGUCUGUCACUGUGGCAUCCGAAUGACAGACGACUGUCAUUUAAACAGACUGAUGGAGCAGCAGCGCUACGUACUCAUGUCUGAAAAGGACGAACAUGCAUCAAAUCACAGUUUUUACCUUUAAUCUGUGUCAAAACUGAUCGUUUGCAGUAUUUCUAAGCAUCAAGCAGACACAGAAACCUGGUUAAAAGUAUUGUUCUUAUACUCUGAAUUAAACAAACGAGGUAUGAAUCACAGAGAGUCUGGUAUGCAGAGCCACGCUAGCUGUUUCCAUCUGUUUCCAGUCUUUAUGCUAAGCUAAGCUAACCGUCUCCUGGAUUCAUGUUCACAGACAUCAGUCACUUUCUGCAACAAAGCGAGUCAGCAGUUUGUCCAAUGAUUCCUCUGAAUCAGACGGAGGAAGCUCUCAGUGGUGUAGGUUUGCUUCGAGCAGGUUUCAUUCAGGAUCAGAUUCCUCGUUGUCGUUUUGCUGCUGAUGUUUCCGGACACUCUGGUGUUUCUGUGAGUCCUGAAAGUGCAGAUUUUCAGUCAUAACGCUGGAGCGGAGCCUCCCUGUGGAAAGCCAUCCAACCCUCCUGCCAGGAGAAGGUCACGCAUUCUGCUGCUCAAAUUUUUUUCUACGGCUCCCUCUCCUUCAUUGUUUUCUUUAUUAACCCGUGUUCCUUAAGUUUAACUUUGCACGUUGCACUGACUUUAAUCUGCCUUGUUUUAGCACAGCGUGUGACGGUUCUGCUCUGCCGUGACCCAGUCCUGUAAACAGUCAUCAGACACUGACGGACUCUGAUAACGUCGUCGUGGAAGAACAAACUGUGAGAAGAAUGUGCUUGGAGCUACUGUAUCUGACUUGUUCACUGGAACAUUUGAAGUUUCCAUUACUUGGUCCUUGAUUCUUCCCAAACCUGAACCGAGGAGUUUUGUUGAAAUGCCAAAGUUUCACUCACAUUCUAGCUUUAUUCACUUUUCUCAUUUAAUUGUGGUUUUAUUCAGUUUUAGGAACAUUUUGCACUUUGGUAUCCAGACAUUUGAUAUGAAUUUGACUAAAAUAAUAACACGUUUGUGUCAUUUAGCGUGUGUGUUUUGGGGGUUUGGUGGCUCUAAAGGUAAAUUAUGUAAUUGACACGGCUCACCUUCGGUACCAGCUCAGCACACAGGAGGGCGCUGUUGCACUGAGCUGAAGUGGCAGCAGGAGCCUGGAAGAUGAUUGUGGGUUUAGAAAUGUUGAACAUUUGACACAAAAAACAAAAACAGAAACAGUUCUUUUUGUUGUGGAAUGAUUAUGUGGAAGCCGAGGAGUCGCCUGCACGUCGUCUGCACCUCCUGCUUGAAUGUUUCAGUUAAAUCUUCAGGGACCAAACGUGAGUCGCUGCCGAUGACUCACCUGCUGUCAAGGCAGUGAAAUCUCUGUGAAGCUGUUUGUGGGGCAGUUUCUGCAUGUUUGUGUGUCCGUGUGACUCAUAGGAGACGUGAGCGCUGUUGUUGUUGUUGUUGUUGUUGUUGCUGCUGCUCGUGUCGGUCUGUGCGGUUGUGCAUGUGAGUAGUGUAACAGGAUCUUCAUUUUAUUGUCGGGGAGGCGGUUCUGCAGGGCGGCAGAACGGGCGAGGACCUAAUAGGAGGCGACAGCAGCUCACUGAGCGACGGGUUACAGAUUGUGUGGUUUUUUUUGUGGACAAAAGUGCAAGAAGUCCAAGUUGUCAGAUCAUCCAGAGCUGUGUUUACUUCACCAGGCUGAACAUUUACCAGCUACAACUGAUGUCUUGUGGAAAAUUCCCAGUUAAAGAACAUUUCAGGUGUUUGUCAUCACAGCUGCAGGUAUCCAGACGUCACAUUGUUAAAGUCUGACUAGUUAUAAUUCAAGAUAUCCUUAACCUCAACUGGAGCUGAAGGGUUUGGGGGAAAUAUCUAUUUACAGUGUUUUGUGACCAUUUUUUGUGGGAUUUGAGUUCAGAAUUUAGUAUUUAAUAGAUUGAAACACUGCUGGAGGGACGUGACUGUAAAAUAUCGACACGACACUUUAAACUCUGAGUCCGAUGCUACAAAAUGCCAGAUGAACCACAGAGUAAACAGACACCUUGAAGUUUCUGUCAGUUUGAAUAGAACAAAAUAUAAUUACAGCAUUAAUUUUAAUCAUUUACACACUUUGUACAUCUUAAAUUGCAGCCUUUGUGAUUUUUGUGUGUUCAGCCCCAAACUACAGUUUUAAGACAUCCUCAUUGCCCUUUUUUUUAUAGAGAUAUUUAAAUAACUAACGUUGGGAAUGUCUUGAACUGGACUUCUGCUCAGUCAGAAUGUAACUUCAGACGACUUGAAUCAGAGUUCAGACUCUGUGAACAGACAGAUGAGCUGUUUUAUCUCCAUGUCAGAGCAGCCUGAGGACAAAGUUCUACCAAAUUUAGAUGAUAAAUCGCCGACGAACGAAGCUCUCGUUCUCCUCCUUUAACCACCACGGCAGCCAGCGUUACUUCUGCCAACGCUGUUUAAAUGCUUUGCUGGACCGACAUCCAGUGGGCAGCUUCGCAUAAGAAGCUUCAUCACAUCAGUUCAGACGAGUCGUGUAAUGUUUGAGGUACCUGCAGCUGUUGUGAUUCGUUCAAACUGAAUUAAAGACGUCUGUAACUGGUUUUCGAUAGUCAGGAUGACGGAGAAAUCAGUAACUGUAACGCCAGUCAGCCUCAGCUGGUAAAUGUUGGAUUACUAUAGCGUGAAGCUGUCAGGUGUCUGAUGUGCGGCGUCUGCAGAUGUUAUUCUGACCAGUUCAAACUGGUUACAGAUCUGUCUACCAGUCAGGUUGGUGUUCCUCCUGAUGGUCAACCUCAGCGGUUAAAUGUUAAAAUGAUGUUAAACUGUCUGAGGACAGAUGUCAGGACUGCAUUAUAAGAGUCUGAAUAGUGGCGUCUGCAGAUAUUAUCACUGAUACAUCUACUUGUGGUCUGGACUCGUCAGAUUAGUGUUCUGAUCUGACUGGUCAUUGGGGAUGUCUUCAGUGAUUUCUGACAGUCAGCCUCAGAUGUUUUGGUGUGAAGCUGUCUGGGGACGUCAGGACUACAUUGUAAGUGUCUGAUGGUGGCGUCUGAGACGUCUCUACCUGUGGUUUUGAUAUCUGGGAGUCCUGACUAGUCAUUGAUGAUAUCUGUAGUGAUUCCCGACAGUCAGGCUGUUAAAUGUUUAAACCUCUCACCACACAAACCAACCAGCGGCCGGAUGAUGUUUUGACAGCUGAAGUCUUCACGCCCAGCACCACCAUCAGUCAUGAUGUUUUUUUUUCCGCUCCAGGUUCUGUGAUUCAGCCGCCGUCAGUGUUUAUGAGGAGACACCCAGCAACUAAUAAUCCCCUGUAGACUUUUAAAAAUGCCAUCACGCUGCAGCUCAGUAAUCCGGCCUCUUUCACGGGGCUUAAGACUGACGCUGCCCCCUCAGCCUACUGUCGUCCAAAUGCCACAGAUUCCCCCCCGGACUCGUACUGUAUUCCCCGCUGUGCAGAUAAUGUGUGAAUGGACUAUACGGACAAUCCAACAAGAGACAAUGAUGUACAAAACCCAAAGUGGCACUUGUAGAUAAUGUACGAUAUGUUCUUUUUUAAUUUUGUACCAGCCAAGCCGCUGAUAUUUAUAACUAUUGCCUAUUUAUGUACAAACUGUUCUCCUGUAAAUACUCAGCAGUCGGUUGAAAUAAAACUCUUUUGCAGUAUAAA